RNAcentral lists this ribosomal RNA (2196 nucleotides) under Serratia marcescens LCT-SM213. RNAcentral's name for it is "bacterial LSU rRNA". It matches the Rfam family "Bacterial large subunit ribosomal RNA", at positions 14 to 2232 of the family's 2925-position model. Lineage: Bacteria; Pseudomonadati; Pseudomonadota; Gammaproteobacteria; Enterobacterales; Yersiniaceae. The record is from RNAcentral.
AGCGUACACGGUGGAUGCCUAGGCAGUCAGAGGCGAUGAAGGGCGUGCUAAUCUGCGAAAAGCGUCGGUAAGGUGAUAUGAACCGUUAUAACCGGCGAUACCCGAAUGGGGAAACCCAGUGUGUUUCGACACACUAUCAUGUCAUGAAUACAUAGUGGCAUGAGGCGAACCGGGGGAACUGAAACAUCUAAGUACCCCGAGGAAAAGAAAUCAACCGAGAUUCCCCCAGUAGCGGCGAGCGAACGGGGAGGAGCCCAGAACCUGAAUCGGCUUGUGUGUUAGUGGAAGCGUCUGGAAAGUCGCGCAGCAAAGGGUGAUAGCCCCGUACACUAAAAUGCACAGGUCGUGAGUUCGAUGAGUAGGGCGGGACACGUGACAUCCUGUCUGAAUAUGGGGGGACCAUCCUCCAAGGCUAAAUACUCCUGACUGACCGAUAGUGAACCAGUACCGUGAGGGAAAGGCGAAAAGAACCCCGGCGAGGGGAGUGAAAUAGAACCUGAAACCGUGUACGUACAAGCAGUGGGAGCACCUUCGUGGUGUGACUGCGUACCUUUUGUAUAAUGGGUCAGCGACUUAUAUUUUGUAGCAAGGUUAACCGUAUAGGGGAGCCGUAGGGAAACCGAGUCUUAACUGGGCGAUUAGUUGCAAGGUAUAGACCCGAAACCCGGUGAUCUAGCCAUGGGCAGGUUGAAGGUUGGGUAACACUAACUGGAGGACCGAACCGACUAAUGUUGAAAAAUUAGCGGAUGACUUGUGGCUGGGGGUGAAAGGCCAAUCAAACCGGGAGAUAGCUGGUUCUCCCCGAAAGCUAUUUAGGUAGCGCCUCGUGAACUCAUCUUCGGGGGUAGAGCACUGUUUCGGCUAGGGGGCCAUCCCGGCUUACCAAACCGAUGCAAACUCCGAAUACCGAAGAAUGUUAUCACGGGAGACACACGGCGGGUGCUAACGUCCGUCGUGAAGAGGGAAACAACCCAGACCGCCAGCUAAGGUCCCAAAGUCAUGGUUAAGUGGGAAACGAUGUGGGAAGGCAUAGACAGCCAGGAUGUUGGCUUAGAAGCAGCCAUCAUUUAAAGAAAGCGUAAUAGCUCACUGGUCGAGUCGGCCUGCGCGGAAGAUGUAACGGGGCUAAACCAUGCACCGAAGCUGCGGCAGCGACGCUUAGCGUUGUUGGGUAGGGGAGCGUUCUGUAAGCCGUUGAAGGUGGCCUGUGAGGGUUGCUGGAGGUAUCAGAAGUGCGAAUGCUGACAUAAGUAACGAUAAAGCGGGUGAAAAGCCCGCUCGCCGGAAGACCAAGGGUUCCUGUCCAACGUUAAUCGGGGCAGGGUGAGUCGACCCCUAAGGCGAGGCUGAAAAGCGUAGUCGAUGGGAAACAGGUUAAUAUUCCUGUACUUGGUGUUACUGCGAAGGGGGGACGGAGAAGGCUAGGCUAGCCGGGCGACGGUUGUCCCGGUUUAAGCGUGUAGGGGGUGUGACCUGGUAAAUCCGGUUGCAUGCUAACCCUGAGGCGUGAUGACGAUGCACUACGGUGCAGAAGUAGUUGAUGCCCUGCUUCCAGGAAAAUCCUCUAAGCUCCAGGUAACAUUAAAUCGUACCCCAAACCGACACAGGUGGUCAGGUAGAGAAUACCAAGGCGCUUGAGAGAACUCGGGUGAAGGAACUAGGCAAAAUGGUGCCGUAACUUCGGGAGAAGGCACGCUGGCAUGUAGGUGAAGUCCCUCGCGGAUGGAGCUGAAGCCAGUCGAAGAUACCAGCUGGCUGCAACUGUUUAAUAAAAACACAGCACUGUGCAAACACGAAAGUGGACGUAUACGGUGUGACGCCUGCCCGGUGCUGGAAGGUUAAUUGAUGGGGUCAGCCGCAAGGCGAAGCUCUUGAUCGAAGCCCCAGUAAACGGCGGCCGUAACUAUAACGGUCCUAAGGUAGCGAAAUUCCUUGUCGGGUAAGUUCCGACCUGCACGAAUGGCGUAAUGAUGGCCAGGCUGUCUCCACCCGAGACUCAGUGAAAUUGAACUCGCUGUGAAGAUGCAGUGUACCCGCGGCAAGACGGAAAGACCCCGUGAACCUUUACUAUAGCUUGACACUGAACAUUGAGCCUUGAUGUGUAGGAUAGGUGGGAGGCUUUGAAGCGUGGACGCCAGUCUGCGUGGAGCCAUCCUUGAAAUACCACCCUUUAAUGUUUGAUGUUCUAACUCGGCC